This 216-nucleotide ribosomal RNA is filed under the name uncultured eukaryote. Its description in RNAcentral is "partial 18S ribosomal RNA". The record is from RNAcentral.
UUUCUGGUCUUGGACGGCGGUCUGCCUCAAACGAGGUACGCACCAUCUGUCCGGGUCCAUCCUCGGGGAAAAUAUAUCUGUGAUUCAGUUCAUGGGUAUAGGAUCCUUCGUCAUUUACUGUGAGCAAAAUAGGGUGUUCAAAGCAGGCUUAUGCCGUUGAAUACAUUAGCAUGGAAUAAUAAGAUAAGACCUUGGUCUAUUUUGUUGGUUUGCAUU